This is a non-coding RNA of Phascolarctos cinereus (koala), 506 nucleotides long. The record is from RefSeq and is a predicted model, not a curated record. NCBI's taxonomy places the organism in Eukaryota, Metazoa, Chordata, Mammalia, Diprotodontia, Phascolarctidae.
CUGAAGCUUUAUCCACCACGCCACCUAGAUGAUGAGACAAGAGAAUAGAAUCCCGUCUCUCACAUUUAAUAAGUCAUAUGACCCUGCUUUAAAUCUUAGAUCCUAUGGCAACCUCAUGCUCUGCUUCCCUGGGCCUGCAAGAAGAUGCUUCCUGUCUGCCUCCCAUUCUCUCCAUCCUAUUUCACUGAGAGCUAAGCAGAUCAUUUGCGUGAACGCCUGAUGAUGGGGCUACUUGACUGGAACUGAGGAUACAAAUACAAAAAGUGGGACAAUCUUUGAACUCAAGAGCCAAGUAUUUUGCUUAGGAAGAAGCUAAGAUUCCGAGAUGAAGACUUCCUGGAGUUCACAGUUAAUUGGGGGCAGGUUUGGGACCAGAACUCUAAUCAAGUGAAUUUGUUGCUGUAUGUACUCCAAAUUCAAUUCCUUCAAUCAAGCAAAUGAGCAAGGUAAUAAUUUGUACUCUAAUAAUAUUAAUAACAUAAUCAUUAUACUAUGAUAAAAUUAUA